GAUGAACGCUGGCGGCGUGCCUAAUACAUGCAAGUCGAGCGAACGGACGAGAAGCUUGCUUCUCUGAUGUUAGCGGCGGACGGGUGAGUAACACGUGGAUAACCUACCUAUAAGACUGGGAUAACUUCGGGAAACCGGAGCUAAUACCGGAUAAUAUUUUGAACCGCAUGGUUCAAAAGUGAAAGACGGUCUUGCUGUCACUUAUAGAUGGAUCCGCGCUGCAUUAGCUAGUUGGUAAGGUAACGGCUUACCGAGGCAACGAUGCAUAGCCGACCUGAGAGGGUGAUCGGCCACACUGGAACUGAGACACGGUCCAGACUCCUACGGGAGGCAGAGUAGGGAAUCUUCCGCAAUGGGCGAAAGCCUGACGGAGCAACGCCGCGUGAGUGAUGAAGGUCUUCGGAUCGUAAAACUCUGUUAUUAGGGAAGAACAUAUGUGUAAGUAACUGUGCACAUCUUGACGGUACCUAAUCAGAAAGCCACGGCUAACUACGUG
Molecule: ribosomal RNA, 496 nt
Filed under: uncultured bacterium
Lineage: Bacteria
Description: partial 16S ribosomal RNA
Rfam family: Bacterial small subunit ribosomal RNA
Source: RNAcentral